RNAcentral lists this ribosomal RNA (1465 nucleotides) under Lactiplantibacillus sp. Its description in RNAcentral is "bacterial SSU rRNA". It matches the Rfam family "Bacterial small subunit ribosomal RNA". Lineage: Bacteria; Bacillati; Bacillota; Bacilli; Lactobacillales; Lactobacillaceae. The record is from RNAcentral.
GGGCUAUACAUGCAAGUCGAACGAACUCUGGUAUUGAUUGGUGCUUGCAUCAUGAUUUACAUUUGAGUGAGUGGCGAACUGGUGAGUAACACGUGGGAAACCUGCCCAGAAGCGGGGGAUAACACCUGGAAACAGAUGCUAAUACCGCAUAACAACUUGGACCGCAUGGUCCGAGUUUGAAAGAUGGCUUCGGCUAUCACUUUUGGAUGGUCCCGCGGCGUAUUAGCUAGAUGGUGGGGUAACGGCUCACCAUGGCAAUGAUACGUAGCCGACCUGAGAGGGUAAUCGGCCACAUUGGGACUGAGACACGGCCCAAACUCCUACGGGAGGCAGCAGUAGGGAAUCUUCCACAAUGGACGAAAGUCUGAUGGAGCAACGCCGCGUGAGUGAAGAAGGGUUUCGGCUCGUAAAACUCUGUUGUUAAAGAAGAACAUAUCUGAGAGUAACUGUUCAGGUAUUGACGGUAUUUAACCAGAAAGCCACGGCUAACUACGUGCCAGCAGCCGCGGUAAUACGUAGGUGGCAAGCGUUGUCCGGAUUUAUUGGGCGUAAAGCGAGCGCAGGCGGUUUUUUAAGUCUGAUGUGAAAGCCUUCGGCUCAACCGAAGAAGUGCAUCGGAAACUGGGAAACUUGAGUGCAGAAGAGGACAGUGGAACUCCAUGUGUAGCGGUGAAAUGCGUAGAUAUAUGGAAGAACACCAGUGGCGAAGGCGGCUGUCUGGUCUGUAACUGACGCUGAGGCUCGAAAGUAUGGGUAGCAAACAGGAUUAGAUACCCUGGUAGUCCAUACCGUAAACGAUGAAUGCUAAGUGUUGGAGGGUUUCCGCCCUUCAGUGCUGCAGCUAACGCAUUAAGCAUUCCGCCUGGGGAGUACGGCCGCAAGGCUGAAACUCAAAGGAAUUGACGGGGGCCCGCACAAGCGGUGGAGCAUGUGGUUUAAUUCGAAGCUACGCGAAGAACCUUACCAGGUCUUGACAUACUAUGCAAAUCUAAGAGAUUAGACGUUCCCUUCGGGGACAUGGAUACAGGUGGUGCAUGGUUGUCGUCAGCUCGUGUCGUGAGAUGUUGGGUUAAGUCCCGCAACGAGCGCAACCCUUAUUAUCAGUUGCCAGCAUUAAGUUGGGCACUCUGGUGAGACUGCCGGUGACAAACCGGAGGAAGGUGGGGAUGACGUCAAAUCAUCAUGCCCCUUAUGACCUGGGCUACACACGUGCUACAAUGGAUGGUACAACGAGUUGCGAACUCGCGAGAGUAAGCUAAUCUCUUAAAGCCAUUCUCAGUUCGGAUUGUAGGCUGCAACUCGCCUACAUGAAGUCGGAAUCGCUAGUAAUCGCGGAUCAGCAUGCCGCGGUGAAUACGUUCCCGGGCCUUGUACACACCGCCCGUCACACCAUGAGAGUUUGUAACACCCAAAGUCGGUGGGGUAACCUUUUAGGAACCAGCCGCCUAAGGGGCACACAUAAAGG